GAUGAACGCUGGCGGCGUGCUUAAUACAUGCAAGUCGAACGGAGAGUGUAGCAAUAUGCUCUUAGUGGCGAACGGGUGAGUAACGCGUUGGUGACCUGCCCCGAAGUGAGGGAUAACGGUUCGAAAGGGCUGCUAAUACCUCAUGUGGUCGUGAUGGUUAGAUACUUCACGUCUAAAGGAGUAAUUCGCUUCGGGAGGGGCCUGCGUCCCAUCAGCUAGUUGGUAGGGUAAUGGCCUACCAAGGCGACGACGGGUAGGGGACCUGAGAGGGUGACCCCCCACACUGGCACUGAAACACGGGCCAGACACCUACGGGUGGCAGCAGUAGGGAAUAUUGCACAAUGGGCGAAAGCCUGAUGCAGCAACGCCGCGUGCGCGAUGAAGGCCUUCGGGUUGUAAAGCGCUUUUCGGGGAGAUGAGGAAGGACAG
This 429-nucleotide ribosomal RNA is filed under the name uncultured Anaerolineaceae bacterium. RNAcentral's name for it is "bacterial SSU rRNA". It matches the Rfam family "Bacterial small subunit ribosomal RNA", at positions 28 to 458 of the family's 1533-position model. Lineage: Bacteria; Bacillati; Chloroflexota; Anaerolineae; Anaerolineales; Anaerolineaceae. The record is from RNAcentral.